UGCUACGGCCAUACCACCCUGAAUGCGCCUGAUCUUGUCUGAUCUCAUAAUUUAAGCAGGAUUGGGCCUGCUUAGAAGUUGGAUGAGAGGAAUUAACAUAUAAUCAGAGUGGGAUUAG
Molecule: ribosomal RNA, 118 nt
Organism: Cavia porcellus (domestic guinea pig)
Lineage: Eukaryota; Metazoa; Chordata; Mammalia; Rodentia; Caviidae
Source: Ensembl